Molecule: transfer RNA, 77 nt
Filed under: BD1-7 clade bacterium
Lineage: Bacteria; Pseudomonadati; Pseudomonadota; Gammaproteobacteria; Cellvibrionales; Spongiibacteraceae
Description: tRNA-Arg(tct)
Rfam family: tRNA
About the family: Transfer RNA (tRNA) molecules are approximately 80 nucleotides in length. Their secondary structure includes four short double-helical elements and three loops (D, anti-codon, and T loops).
Source: RNAcentral
GCGCUCGUAGCUCAACUGGAUAGAGCAACGGCCUUCUAAGCCGUAGGUUACAGGUUCGAUUCCUGUCGGGCGUACCA